RNAcentral lists this ribosomal RNA (707 nucleotides) under uncultured bacterium. RNAcentral's name for it is "bacterial SSU rRNA". It matches the Rfam family "Bacterial small subunit ribosomal RNA", at positions 111 to 794 of the family's 1533-position model. The record is from RNAcentral.
UAACACGUAAACAACCUGCCUUCAGGAUGGGGACAACAGACGGAAACGACUGCUAAUACCGAAUGUGUUCCGGAGACCGCAUGAUUUCCGGAAGAAAGGAUGGCCUCUAUUUAUAAGCUAUCGCCUGAAGAGGGGUUUGCGUCUGAUUAGGCAGUUGGUGAGGUAACGGCCCACCAAACCUACGAUCAGUAGCCGGUCUGAGAGGAUGAACGGCCACACUGGAACUGAGACACGGUCCAGACUCCUACGGGAGGCAGCAGUGGGGAAUCUUCCGCAAUGGACGAAAGUCUGACGGAGCAACGCCGCGUGAGUGAUGACGGCCUUCGGGUUGUAAAGCUCUGUGAUCGGGGACGAAUGGCUGGUAUGCUAAUACCAUAUCAGAGUGACGGUACCCGAAUAGCAAGCCACGGCUAACUACGUGCCAGCAGCCGCGGUAAUACGUAGGUGGCAAGCGUUGUCCGGAAUUAUUGGGCGUAAAGCGCGCGCAGGCGGCUUCUUAAGUCCAUCUUAAAAGUGCGGGGCUUAACCCCGUGAUGGGAUGGAAACUGGGAGGCUGGAGUAUCGGAGAGGAAAGUGGAAUUCCUAGUGUAGCGGUGAAAUGCGUAGAGAUUAGGAAGAACACCAGUGGCGAAGGCGACUUUCUGGACGACAACUGACGCUGAGGCGCGAAAGCGUGGGGAGCAAACAGGAUUAGAUACCCUGGUAGU